Molecule: ribosomal RNA, 467 nt
Filed under: uncultured bacterium
Lineage: Bacteria
Description: partial 16S ribosomal RNA
Rfam family: Bacterial small subunit ribosomal RNA
Source: RNAcentral
GACGAACGCUGGCGGCGUGCUUAACACAUGCAAGUCGAACGGAAAGGCCCUGCUUUUGUGGGGUGCUCGAGUGGCGAACGGGUGAGUAACACGUGAGUAACCUGCCCUUGGCUUUGGGAUAACUUCAGGAAACUGGGGCUAAUACCGGAUAGGAGCUCCUGCUGCAUGGUGGGGGUUGGAAAGUUUCGGCGGUUGGGGAUGGACUCGCGGCUUAUCAGCUUGUUGGUGGGGUAGUGGCUUACCAAGGCUUUGACGGGUAGCCGGCCUGAGAGGGUGACCGGCCACAUUGGGACUGAGAUACGGCCCAGACUCCUACGGGAGGCAGCGGUGGGGAAUAUUGCACAAUGGGCGGAAGCCUGAUGCAGCAACGCCGCGUGCGGGAUGACGGCCUUCGGGUUGUAAACCGCUUUCGCCUGUGACGAAGCGUGAGUGACGGUAAUGGGUAAAGAAGCACCGGCUAACUACGU